UACAGAGGGGGCAAGCGUUGUUCGGAAUUACUGGGCGUAAAGGGCGCGUAGGCGGCCCGCUAAGUCGAACGUGAAAUCCCCAGGCUCAACUUGGGAACUGCGUCUGAUACUGGAUGGCUUGAAUUCGGGAGAGGGAUGCAGAAUUCCAGGUGUAGCGGUGAAAUGCGUAGAUAUCUGGAGGAAUACCGGUGGCGAAGGCGGCAUCCUGGACCGAUAUUGACACUGAGGAGCGAAAGCCAGGGGAGCAAACGGG
RNAcentral lists this ribosomal RNA (253 nucleotides) under uncultured bacterium. RNAcentral describes it as "partial 16S ribosomal RNA". It matches the Rfam family "Bacterial small subunit ribosomal RNA", at positions 524 to 776 of the family's 1533-position model. The record is from RNAcentral.